This 240-nucleotide ribosomal RNA is filed under the name uncultured Lactobacillus sp. RNAcentral's name for it is "partial 16S ribosomal RNA". It matches the Rfam family "Bacterial small subunit ribosomal RNA", at positions 122 to 355 of the family's 1533-position model. The record is from RNAcentral. Lineage: Bacteria; Bacillati; Bacillota; Bacilli; Lactobacillales; Lactobacillaceae.
UAACCUGCCCAAGAGAUCGGGAUAACACCUGGAAACAGAUGCUAAUACCGGAUAACAACAGAUGAUGCCUAUCAACUGUUUAAAAGAUGGUUCUGCUAUCACUCUUGGAUGGACCUGCGGUGCAUUAGCUGGUUGGUAGGGUAACGGCCCACCAAGGCGAUGAUGCAUAGCCGAGUUGAGAGACUGAUCGGCCACAUUGGGACUGAGACACGGCCCAAACUCCUACGGGAGGCAGCAGCU